ACACGUGGGUAACCUGCCUGUAAGACUGGGAUAACUCCGGGAAACCGGGGCUAAUACCGGAUGCUUGAUUGAACCGCAUGGUUCAAUCAUAAAAGGUGGCUUUUAGCUACCACUUACAGAUGGACCCGCGGCGCAUUAGCUAGUUGGUGAGGUAACGGCUCACCAAGGCGACGAUGCGUAGCCGACCUGAGAGGGUGAUCGGCCACACUGGGACUGAGACACGGCCCAGACUCCUACGGGAGGCAGCAGUAGGGAAUCUUCCGCAAUGGACGAAAGUCUGACGGAGCAACGCCGCGUGAGUGAUGAAGGUUUUCGGAUCGUAAAACUCUGUUGUUAGGGAAGAACAAGUACCGUUCGAAUAGGGCGGUACCUUGACGGUACCUAACCAGAAAGCCACGGCUAACUACGUGCCAGCAGCCGCGGUAAUACGUAGGUGGCAAGCGUUGUCCGGAAUUAUUGGGCGUAAAGCGCGCGCAGGCGGUUUCUUAAGUCUGAUGUGAAAGCCCCCGGCUCAACCGGGGAGGGUCAUUGGAAACUGGGGAACUUGAGUGCAGAAGAGGAGAGUGGAAUUCCACGUGUAGCGGUGAAAUGCGUAGAGAUGUGGAGGAACACCAGUGGCGAAGGCGACUCUCUGGUCUGUAACUGACGCUGAGGCGCGAAAGCGUGGGGAGCGAACAGGAUUAGAUACCCUGGUAGUCCACGCCGUAAACGAUGAGUGCUAAGUGUUAGAGGGUUUCCGCCCUUUAGUGCUGCAGCAAACGCAUUAAGCACUCCGCCUGGGGAGUACGGUCGCAAGACUGAAACUCAAAGGAAUUGACGGGG
Molecule: ribosomal RNA, 822 nt
Filed under: Bacillus sp. (in: firmicutes)
Lineage: Bacteria; Bacillati; Bacillota; Bacilli; Caryophanales; Bacillaceae
Description: bacterial SSU rRNA
Rfam family: Bacterial small subunit ribosomal RNA
Source: RNAcentral